Molecule: long non-coding RNA, 514 nt
Organism: Saccostrea echinata
Lineage: Eukaryota; Metazoa; Mollusca; Bivalvia; Ostreida; Ostreidae
Exons: 3
Source: RefSeq, a predicted model, not a curated record
UUUUGGAUAGAGAGGACUUGGACUAACAGACAAACUAAUUUAAGUGAUAAAAUUUAAUUUUUAUUCAUUGCCGGAUAUAGAAUUUUGCCACACUAUCAAGAUGGGAAAAUAUCUUAUUCAUACUAUUGCGACAAUAUUAUUGAUGAACUUCCUUGUGAGUGCUAAUUCAGAAGGAAAUUCGACAACAGCCUCGGAAAGUACGGUAACUACUACUGCAUCAACAAAGGCCACACAGACAAGCACCAAGUCGGGCGGAUCUUCGCCAGCCACCACUGGAUUUCUCCUCGCUUUCCUUCAAUAUUUGACCUGGCAAAAUUUUUGACUUAAGGAGAGAUCUCCAAUUAAACAAGCAUCGUCUAACAGAAUUUUCUUAGAAGAUUAAAUAUUAACACAUAUUUAAAAAUAGUGUAAUACAUUUCUUCAUUGUUGGAACAUGUUAUAUAAAUCCUAAAAUAGAAAUGCAUUUGACGACACAUCCAUGUCUGAAUACAAUUAAAGAUUGCUGAUCCCAAGA